UAUGCUUGGCUCCAAUGAAUCAGAUUCCUCCUCCAAUAGCUUGUCUCCAAAAGCCCGGACCCUACAGAAAACUGCCGAGAGUCUGGAGAGGAAUUAAGCUAAACACUUUACAGACCCUAAGUCAGGCAUCAUCUUCAUCAUCGGGAAGCUUUGUAAUGAUGUCACAGAGUCAGGGGUCAUCUGAGAGCAAAAUAUCCCUGUAAGAUAGUCCUGAGGAACAUUGUACACAGGAAGCAAGAGUUGUACUCGGCCGAGUCUAAAGACUUACUGGAGACAGCCUGGGAGAGGAGGCCCCCACCCAGUAACUGGAAACCCAAGGGGCUACUGGUGACCCACCUCCAGGAACACAGGGCGACAGUCAACAGGAUUCAAGUUUCUCAAGACCAUGCAUUCUUUGCCCCGUGGCCUCCAAUGAUGGUACAGUCAAAUUAUGGGAGUCUGAAAAACUGGAGGGAAACAGUGUUGCUAACUGCUCUAAACAGACCCUCAAGAAUACUUCUGUACCUGGAGAGAAAGUGGAAGGUUUAGUUUUCUGUGAAGCUCCUGGAUCUGUUUUCUCUCUCUGGCCACAUUCACCGACAUGGGG
Molecule: long non-coding RNA, 586 nt
Organism: Saccostrea cuccullata (small rock oyster)
Lineage: Eukaryota; Metazoa; Mollusca; Bivalvia; Ostreida; Ostreidae
Exons: 4
Source: RefSeq, a predicted model, not a curated record